GUGUUUGCUUCGGCAGCACGUAUAUUAAAAUGAAUGAUACAGAGAUUAUCAGGCUGCCCUUGUGCAAGGAUGAUGCGCAAAUUCAUGAAGUGUUCCAUACUUUU
Molecule: small nuclear RNA, 104 nt
Organism: Mesoplodon densirostris (Blainville's beaked whale)
Lineage: Eukaryota; Metazoa; Chordata; Mammalia; Artiodactyla; Ziphiidae
Source: RefSeq, a predicted model, not a curated record